Molecule: long non-coding RNA, 718 nt
Organism: Leucoraja erinaceus (little skate)
Lineage: Eukaryota; Metazoa; Chordata; Chondrichthyes; Rajiformes; Rajidae
Exons: 3
Source: RefSeq, a predicted model, not a curated record
GCCUGGAAAGCCUCGAGCUGGAUCGACCCUCCGCGUUGAAACUGCGAGCUGGAUCGGCCGACCGCACACACACACAUCGCAAAGGCGGGGGCCAGGGAAAGCAGGGGAGCACUGUCUGAAAUUCACACCCACGAUGAAGAGGAAGGUAAAAGAUGACUGCAAGACGACGAAUGAUAUCAUUCUGCUGCUGUUUAAAAAAAGAAUAUUCACAAACUUAGUCUUUGCAUAAAAGGAGAAGAACAGACAUAAAGGAUUAUGGGCAGCAGCAAUGUCGGCGGCCAAGGCGAUGGACGUUCCCAUCGACCAUAUUCUCGCAGCCGCUGGAUGGUCAAAUGAAUUGUUUUUUCAACAUUUUUACCAUCAGCCGAUUGCCGAUCGGGGGCUGUUUGCUAAUUCUAUAUUAAGUUCUGUUUAAGUUUCCACCUGGGAUAGAGGGGUUACUGUUUGUUUUUGAUUAUUCAAAUAAAUUGUUACUGCAUUAUAUUCAAUUUUGUGCUUACCGCAUUAUUGACAUUUCUCAUCUGGAGUCAAUCCAUGCAGUGAGAAGCCGAGAUUUGAAUCUGCGGCAAGAAAUCACAGAGCUUUGAACUCUUCACAGAAUCACUCACGUGACUCAGAAGUAAAAUAGUAAGAUUAAAUGAGAACUUACCAGUUUGAAGUUUGAUCUUUAUUUUAUGAGGAGUUACGUUGGUGAUUACGUGCCCACCCCGCCCAACCC